This is a long non-coding RNA of Bufo bufo (common toad), 190 nucleotides long. RefSeq lists it as uncharacterized. The transcript has 3 exons. The record is from RefSeq and is a predicted model, not a curated record. NCBI's taxonomy places the organism in Eukaryota, Metazoa, Chordata, Amphibia, Anura, Bufonidae.
UGAGCUUCUUUGGGGCGUUUUGACGCGCGUUUGUGGCCAUAGGACACUGCAGUCAAUUACACAAACGCUCGUCAAACGCGCGUUUACUAUUGCAAAAAACGCGCAUAAAAACGCGCGACAAAAACGCGCGUAAAACGCGCGUCUGAGAAACACUCAGGUGUGAAAGCAGGGUUAAAGAGGCAGUAUAAAU